AAAGCCUGUGUCUUCCAGCCUCAAGAUCUGGAUCACAGGUGUACCCUCUAUUUCUGGAUUAUAAUUCUCUCCAGGUAAGUCAAAUUACAACUGGGAAUUGUCAUCACAAGGAUAUUUGAAACUUAAUACAUAUUUCUAAAAUGUUUGAGAGAAUCUAGCAAAACUCCAUUCAACCAGAGAUUCCUUUAAUGCUGUGGAGUCAUGUAAAUUUUUUUUUAUUCCUUUUGGAAUGAAAGAAGCCUGUAUAUUCUGUUAACUCUGCUGCUUGCCUAUCAUGUGUCCAAGGGACUGGUGCUGAGAAAUGACUUACAUAACAGAUGAAUAGAUGACAUUUCUCCCCUGCCACCACAAGUAUCGCUGAAAUUAUAUAUUGUUCAUUUACUUUUUUAAAACGUGGAGUUGUAAUUUUUGUGAUAAUCAAAUCCAUCUUGAAUAGCCUGUAAUUUCUUAGCAAGGAUCAGAGGACAAUUUUCUCCCUAAUAAUAAAGAAGCUGUUCCCUGGUCCUCACAAUACUCCUGUUUGGUAUCAGUAGGAUUUAUUCGUGGUCCAUUAAUCAUCCAUGCUUGACAGUGAGUAGCUAACAAUAAUUGUGAUAAGAUGGUAAAAUGAGUCUUGUCACUUAUUUCUUUGUUUAAGAGGUGUGUGAACAAGGCAUACCGAAACAAGCCAGAUGCUUAUGUGGAGAAGGAAUUUGGAUGUGGUUGUUGAGCCCCAUGCAGACAACUUGAACUUACACUGCAGGGAUGAAGGAUGUGGAAAACUUUCCAUAGGAGUGUGCUGAGAAGGAAAUUGAAGAACAGUGUGCCUUGGUGCGGGGCACUGCAGAUGUACCUUGGGAACUAAGGUGAUAGCUCAGUUGGCAGAGUACUUGCUUUGCAGGUGCUAACAUGCCACCCACUUUAUGCUUUGAGACAGUCUCCCACUAACCUGGAAUGCACCGAGUAGUCUAGGCUGGCUGGCCAUCGAGCAGCAGGGCUUAGCCUCCCACCUGCAGGAUGCCUGGAUUUGUAUUUUAACACUGCUUCUGAGGAUUGAACUCAGGUCCUCAUGCAUACAAGUUUCUCAGUCAACCUAAGUCUUCCUUACCUCACCGGAAAUGUAGAACUCAACGCUUCAGUUAAAUAAAAGGAAGGAGCGUUUCAAUGGAAAUAGCUUCAGAAGAAUGGACUUAAAUCCAGAGAGCAUACACAGUUGCUUUGAAGAGUGUUUUGAGAUGGAUCCCAUAGACCUUGCAAUUGGCUGUCUUGAGCAGAUACAGGUAUGUUCUUGGCAGAUCUAGUAAAAUAUGCUCUGUAAAAAGCUGUAGCUUCUAGAGAAGUUAUAUUGAAGUCUGAUGAUUCGCUAAUCACUACUAAUUAUUAGAGUAGGAAUUUAACAGCUUGAUGGUUUUCUUAAGAUUUAUUUUGAAUUUUAUGAAUGCUGGUAUGUCUGUAUGGGGGUGUGUGUACAAGGACUCAGGUAGCCACAGAGACCAGAAGAGGAUAUUGGAUGUUCGGGAGCUUGGGAUAUGGGCAGUUGGGAGAUGCCCAAUGCCAGUGCUGGGAAUCCCAUGCAGGUCCUCUGCAAGAGCAGUACUGCUUCCUAACCUGGGUUGAGGACACCAUGAGAACAUGGCCCACAGAAUCAACUAAUCAAGGCCCAUAAGACCCCAUAGAGAUUGAAGCAACAGUAACAGUGUCUAUAUUGAUCUGAGAUAGGUCCUCUCUAUAUACAUUAUGGUCAUGUAUGGUGUUCUUGUGAGACUCCUAAUAGUGGAAGUGGUGACAUCCCUGACUCUUUUGCCUGCUUUUGGGACCCUUUUCCUCCUACUGGGUUGCUUGCCUCAUCCAGUCUUGAUAUGAAGGUUUGUUCCAGCCUUAUUGUAGCUUGGAAUACCUUGUAAUAUUCCAGGAAGACCUGCUCUUUGCUGAAGGGAAAUGGAAAGGGAGUGGAUCGGAAGGGGAAGUUUGGUGUACAGGUAAAGGGAAGGAGUGGAAAGAGAGGAAACUGCAGUUGGCAUGUAAGGUAUAAGAAGAAUACAGUGUUCAAUGUUUUGAAGUUACAACUAUGCUUAGUCCAAAGCAUUGUGAGGAGAGGAAAGUCCCCAUACUGCUAGACAGAGGGACUUCUGAGGAGUUGUUUAUCAAGAAACCACUGCUGAGGAGGAAGAAGGCUGUCAAUGAUGUCACCUGACAUCCAUGCACACCAAGAUGAGAGAAUUCUCUCAGCUCAGGGUCCUCCCUGACAGACCUACAAUGGCUGCCAUUUGAACCACCAAGGAUGUCUUUGAAAAAAAAAAAUUCCUACGGUCCACCCACAAAAACGUAACUCAAACAUCUGGACCAUUAAUACAACAAAGUAAUGUUGAUUUUAAAAUCUCUAUCUGGAUAAUGUGUGGUGGUUAGUUGUUGUUGUUUUUUUUUAAUUAAGAUUUUAUGCUCCACUAUGUU
This is a long non-coding RNA of Mus musculus (house mouse), 2430 nucleotides long. RefSeq annotates it as predicted gene, 35480. The record is from RefSeq and is a predicted model, not a curated record. Lineage: Eukaryota; Metazoa; Chordata; Mammalia; Rodentia; Muridae. The transcript is spliced from 3 exons.